UUGACAACUCUAGAGAUAGAGCCUUCCCCUUCGGGGGACAAAGUGACAGGUGGUGCAUGGUUGUCGUCAGCUCGUGUCGUGAGAUGUUGGGUUAAGUCCCGCAACGAGCGCAACCCUUAAGCUUAGUUGCCAUCAUUAAGUUGGGCACUCUAAGUUGACUGCCGGUGACAAACCGGAGGAAGGUGGGGAUGACGUCAAAUCAUCAUGCCCCUUAUGAUUUGGGCUACACACGUGCUACAAUGGACAAUACAAAGGGCAGCGAAACCGCGAGGUCAAGCAAAUCCCAUAAA
RNAcentral lists this ribosomal RNA (290 nucleotides) under Staphylococcus aureus. Its description in RNAcentral is "partial 16S ribosomal RNA". It matches the Rfam family "Bacterial small subunit ribosomal RNA", at positions 991 to 1280 of the family's 1533-position model. Lineage: Bacteria; Bacillati; Bacillota; Bacilli; Caryophanales; Staphylococcaceae. The record is from RNAcentral.